Molecule: long non-coding RNA, 1471 nt
Filed under: Lonchura striata (white-rumped munia)
Lineage: Eukaryota; Metazoa; Chordata; Aves; Passeriformes; Estrildidae
Description: domestica (Bengalese finch) lncRNA (ENSLSDG00000007899.1)
Source: RNAcentral
GUGGCACCGAGGGCGGCACCGUGGGGACGCCAGGGGGGCACCCCCGGGGGCAGCGGGCGCUGGAACAGGGGGUUGGUGUGGAAAUGGGGCUCCUCGUCCUCCUCCUGGGCUUCGUCAUCCUCAUCUUCAUCAUCUUCAUCAUCCUGGUCUUCAUCAUCCUCAUCUUCAUCAUCAUCUUCAUCUUCAUCAUCAUGGUCUUCGUCAUCCUGGUUCUCACCCAGGUUCUCCUCCACGUUCUCCUUAUCCAGGUUCUCACCCAGGUUCUUCUCAUCCAGGUUCUCACCCAGGUUCUUCUCACCCAGGUUCUUCUCACCCAGGUUCUCACCCAGGUUCUCCUUAUCCAGGUUGUCCUUAUCCAGGUUCUCACCCAGGUUCUUCUCACCCAGGUUCUCACCCAGGUUCUCACCCAGAUUCUCCUCCAGGUUCUUCUCACCCACGUUCUCACCCAGGUUCUCCUGCACGUUCUCCUUAUCCAGGUUCUCACCCAGGUUCUCCUCACCCAGGUUCUCACCCAGGUUCUCCUCCAGGUUCUCACCCAGGUUCUCACCCAGGUUCUCACCCAGAUUCUCCUCCAGGUUCUUCUCACCCAGGUUCUCACCCAGGUUCUCCUCCAGGUUCUCACCCAGGUUCUUCUCAUCCAGGUUCUCCUUAUCCAGGGUCUCCUCCUCUUCAUUCUCAUGGGAGAAGCCACCAUGGACAUCACGGUCAUGGUGGUCAUCAUGGUCACGGUGGUCAUGGUGGUCAUUGUGGUCAUCUAGGGCAUUGUGGUCAUCAACGUCAUUGAGGUCAUGGUGGUCAUUGAGGUCAUCAAGGUCAUUUUGGUCAUUGAGGUCAUUGCGGUCAUCAUGGUCAUGGUGGUCAUUGUGGUCAUCGAGGUCAUCUAGGUCAUGGUGGUCAUUGAGGUCAUUGAUGUCAUUGAGGUCAGGGUGGUCAUUGAGGUCAUUGUGGUCACCAUGGUCAUGGUGGUCAGUAUGGUCAUGGUGGUCAUUGAUGUCAUUGAGAUCAAGGUGGUCAUUGAGGUCAUUGUGGUCACCAUGGUCAUGGUGGUCACUUAGAUCAUGGUGGUCACGGUGGUCAUCACGGUCAUCACUGGCCUGGUGGUCGCCAUCGUUGCCGUCACCUUCUUCUUCCUCCUGGCUGAGUCUGGGGACUUGGGGCUUGGGGGAGAUGGGACCAUCCAUGGUGGGACCAUCCGUGGUGGGACCAUCCAUGGUCACAGGUCUGGGGGAGAUGUCCCCAUCCCUGGUCACAGUCCAUGAGGAGAUGUCCCCACCCAUGGACAUGUGGGAGAUGCUCCCAAAGAGGAACUCAAAGCUUUGGUCCAUGGGAACAGCCUGGGGUGGGAUGUCCUCAUCCAUGGAUGCCUGGGAGAUGCCUUCAAACGUGGAUCCAUGGCCUUGGAGCUGCUGGGAGAUGCUCCCGGCCACGGUCAUGGACUUGGGUGGGGUGGACCCAUCUGUGGACACCUGGA